RNAcentral lists this ribosomal RNA (250 nucleotides) under uncultured bacterium. Its description in RNAcentral is "partial 16S ribosomal RNA". It matches the Rfam family "Bacterial small subunit ribosomal RNA", at positions 525 to 775 of the family's 1533-position model. The record is from RNAcentral.
ACGUAGGGGGCUAGCGUUAUCCGGAUUUACUGGGCGUAAAGGGUGCGUAGGUGGUCUUUCAAGUCGGUGGUUAAAGGCUACGGCUCAACCGUAGUUAGCCUCCGAAACUGGAAGACUUGAGUGCAGGAGAGGAAAGUGGAAUUCCCAGUGUAGCGGUGAAAUGCGUAGAUAUUGGGAGGAACACCAGUAGCGAAGGCGGCUUUCUGGACUGCAACUGACACUGAGGCACGAAAGCGUGGGUAGCAAACAG